CAGUCGAGCGGAAGAUGGGAGCUUGCUCCCUGAUGUUAGCGGCGGACGGGUGAGUAACACGUGGGUAACCUGCCUGUAAGACUGGGAUAACUCCGGGAAACCGGGGCUAAUACCGGAUGGUUGUUUGAACCGCAUGGUUCAAACAUAAAAGGUGGCUUCGGCUACCACUUACAGAUGGACCCGCGGCGCAUUAGCUAGUUGGUGAGGUAACGGCUCACCAAGGCAACGAUGCGUAGCCGACCUGAGAGGGUGAUCGGCCACACUGGGACUGAGACACGGCCCAGACUCCUACGGGAGGCAGCAGUAGGGAAUCUUCCGCAAUGGACGAAAGUCUGACGGAGCAACGCCGCGUGAGUGAUGAAGGUUUUCGGAUCGUAAAGCUCUGUUGUUAGGGAAGAACAAGUACCGUUCGAAUAGGGCGGUACCUUGACGGUACCUAACCAGAAAGCCACGGCUAACUACGUGCCAGCAGCCGCGGUAAUACGUAGGUGGCAAGCGUUGUCCGGAAUUAUUGGGCGUAAAGGGCUCGCAGGCGGUUUCUUAAGUCUGAUGUGAAAGCCCCCGGCUCAACCGGGGAGGGUCAUUGGAAA
Molecule: ribosomal RNA, 590 nt
Filed under: Bacillus sp. CH357_12T
Lineage: Bacteria; Bacillati; Bacillota; Bacilli; Caryophanales; Bacillaceae
Description: bacterial SSU rRNA
Rfam family: Bacterial small subunit ribosomal RNA
Source: RNAcentral